AAAGAGAUGUUUUUCUUCCCAAGAGCUGGUGAAAUUCUAGAUCACCGUUUGUCCUGUGUUGUGGGGCAGACAGCCUCGGCUGCAAUGAACGGAGUCUGACAUCACUAACAGCUCAUUGCAGGGCCCUUCCAACGUGCGCUGGAGGUUUCGAUGCUCAGGUCCCGAGGAAGCCACAAAUGAACAAUUUGUGACAGAUGCAGAAGCCAGCUGGAGUUUCACCAUCUGCCACUUAUCCGGUCACCCAUGGCGAUAAGGUCAAAGGGGAGGUUCCAGACAAACAGCGAUCCAGCCGAGACCUCAGUGGUAGAGCUGGUAGAAGGUGACGACACAUCACAACAGCAGUGAAGGCGACGGAAGACUGCAGCAGUGAAGGAUCCCCAGUGAGAAGGGAGGACCACCAGGACCACCAGGACCAAGGUCUCAUCACUUCAAAAGUUGGACACAAGAGUUUGUGGAAACAGUAGCCACCCUGGAGUUUUCCAGAGAUAGAUCAAAGUACGUAAAAUUUAAAUGAAAAAUGUCCAGUUCAGAAUCAAAGUCAGAAUCAAGAUUCUGAUUCUGAAGUACAUGAAACUUAAAGGAAAAUGUCCAGUUAUGUUAGCUUUCUUUGAUUUGUGUUCAAGCAAGUUCUCAUUCCUCAGAAGAUUUCUGUUUAAUUGUCAAGUAUGAAGAUUGUUAUUGACCUGCUUCUUCCUAAACCAUAAACAGAGGCCAAUUACAUGUAGCAUCUACUGCUGAUAACUGAUUGUCAUCCAACUCACUGGAGGAUUGAAAAUGUUACUGGGAUUAUCCGGAACUGCACCUUCCAGUUUCUGAACGGACGUCUUUGCCCAGCUUCCUAACUCACUCCCAGACUUCUUCACAUAGAGGACAUGCACGCCCUCCUGGUUGUUACAUUUACUGUAGCCUUCUCUUUGGAAAAUGGACUGUGUUAUAGAUAAAGUGUCUUGGAAAGACUUGAUCAUACUAGUUAGGCUGUGAGUCAUAGCCCAGAAGAAAUCUCCUUAAUCCCUUGUCUAUGCCUCACUUUUAGUGAUGGAGCCUCGUUAAUCCAAAACUGUAAGAUACACAGACAAUAUUGAUGUCAACAGACAAGCUCCUUAUCCCACUUUAGUGAUAUACCACAGGCUGGCAACUGACAUUAUAAAUGCAAAAGACGUGGAAACAUAAUUAAGUCAUUUCUAGAAACGUCAACGGUCAAAUCUGAACCUUUGCCAGACCAAACUCGUUUUAAAAAAGGAGGCAUCUUAGUGUACUGAGCAAAACCUCUAUCUGAAAGUUCAAAAACUUAGAAGGGUUUGAGGCUAGAUUUCCCCUGCUACACAAACUCAUAAGUGUCCUCAACCUUGACAAAUAUUUAAGUUCAAAAGUCUCUUGGGCAUUAGUAGUGUCUCAGCACGUCUUCUCUGAGUCACAAAGUUAUGGAUUUGAUUCAGAGAGUAAUACUGCAUGGAAGCAGAUCCUUUGGCCUAGCUCUUCCAUGCUGACCAAGAUGCCUAUGCAAGAUUGUCCCAUUUGCCCACAUGUGGCCCAUAUCUAUCCCUCUGUCCAUGACCAUUCCCAUCUAUGUACCUGUCCAAGUGUCUCUUAAACGUUGUUACGGCUGUCGUGACUGUGCAUGACGCUGGUGAUAUACAAGUCUUUAUUCAGCACAUGGGCAGGCAUCAUACUGGAGGCCCUGUUAGAAGAGGCUCCUUGAUCCAAUAUUACAUGACAUUUUAUAUGUUAAAGGUCAAAGGUAAUGGCAGGACCAUUCUAUAGUUACAAUGUAUCCACAAUACUUCUUUCUAUUACAUAUAGUUUUCAAGCACCUCCAUCUUCACACCAGCGCUCCGGACACCCAAAAUGAACAUUAAUCCCCACUGAUUCUGGGCUGCAUUCAUGCAUAUGCAGACAUAUCAGGUCAAAUGGAGUGUUUCUUUGUUUACAAUCCACCCCAGUCUGCAGCUCCAAGAACACUAUUCUUCCAGGCUACAUUUUAAACUC
Mobula hypostoma (lesser devil ray) is the source of this 1986-nucleotide long non-coding RNA. RefSeq lists it as uncharacterized. The record is from RefSeq and is a predicted model, not a curated record. Lineage: Eukaryota; Metazoa; Chordata; Chondrichthyes; Myliobatiformes; Myliobatidae. The transcript is spliced from 3 exons.